This 69-nucleotide transfer RNA is filed under the name Shuttleworthella sp. MSX8B. RNAcentral's name for it is "Shuttleworthia sp. MSX8B tRNA-Arg". The record is from RNAcentral. Lineage: Bacteria; Bacillati; Bacillota; Clostridia; Lachnospirales; Lachnospiraceae.
GUCCGCGUAGCUCAGCUGGAUAGAGCGACCGCCUCCUAAGCGGUAGGUCGUUCGAAUCUAAAAGCCGCA